RNAcentral lists this ribosomal RNA (468 nucleotides) under uncultured bacterium. RNAcentral's name for it is "partial 16S ribosomal RNA". It matches the Rfam family "Bacterial small subunit ribosomal RNA", at positions 28 to 507 of the family's 1533-position model. The record is from RNAcentral.
GACGAACGCUGGCGGCGUGCUUAACACAUGCAAGUCGGACGGAAAGGCCCUGCUUUUGUGGGGUGCUCGAGUGGCGAACGGGUGAGUAACACGUGAGUAACCUGCCCUUGACUUUGGGAUAACUUCAGGAAACUGGGGCUAAUACCGGAUAGGAGCUCCUGCUGCAUGGUGGGGGUUGGAAAGUUUCGGCGGUUGGGGAUGGACUCGCGGCUUAUCAGCUUGUUGGUGGGGUAGUGGCUUACCAAGGCUUUGACGGGUAGCCGGCCUGAGAGGGUGACCGGCCACAUUGGGACUGAGAUACGGCCCAGACUCCUACGGGAGGCAGCGGUGGGGAAUAUUGCACAAUGGGCGGAAGCCUGAUGCAGCAACGCCGCGUGCGGGAUGACGGCCUUCGGGUUGUAAACCGCUUUCGCCUGUGACGAAGCGUGAGUGACGGUAAUGGGUAAAGAAGCACCGGCUAACUACGUG